RNAcentral lists this ribosomal RNA (495 nucleotides) under uncultured bacterium. RNAcentral describes it as "partial 16S ribosomal RNA". It matches the Rfam family "Bacterial small subunit ribosomal RNA", at positions 28 to 507 of the family's 1533-position model. The record is from RNAcentral.
GAUGAACGCUGGCGGCGUGCCUAAUACAUGCAAGUAGAACGCUGAAGGAGGAGCUUGCUCUUCUGGAUGAGUUGCGAACGGGUGAGUAACGCGUAGGUAACCUGCCUGGUAGCGGGGGAUAACUAUUGGAAACGAUAGCUAAUACCGCAUGACAACAGUUAUUGCAUGAUAACUGUUUAAAAGGGGCAACUGCUCCACUACCAGAUGGACCUGCGUUGUAUUAGCUAGUUGGUGAGGUAACGGCUCACCAAGGCGACGAUACAUAGCCGACCUGAGAGGGUGAUCGGCCACACUGGGACUGGGACACGGCCCAGACUCCCACGGGAGGCAGCAGUAGGGAAUCUUCGGCAAUGGACGGAAGUCUGACCGAGCAACGCCGCGUGAGGGAAGAAGGUUUUCGGAUCGUAAAGCUCUGUUGUAAGAGAAGAACGAGUGUGAGAGUGGAAAGUUCACACUGUGACGGUAUCUUACCAGAAAGGGACGGCUAACUACGUG